Erythranthe guttata (spotted monkey flower) is the source of this 275-nucleotide non-coding RNA. The record is from RefSeq and is a predicted model, not a curated record. NCBI's taxonomy places the organism in Eukaryota, Viridiplantae, Streptophyta, Magnoliopsida, Lamiales, Phrymaceae.
CUCCGAUCCACUGCUCUUCGAGAUAUAUCCAAAGACAAAACUAGGAGGAGAGAUCUAGAGCACGACGAAUACAUUGGUUUUUCUUUUUCAGGUAGAUUUUGAAGUUGGAGGGUAAUAUUUUCCAUUAGCUAUUAAAUUUCUGUUUUAGUUUUCUAUUUUUUUAUUUUUUUUUGUUAUUAAGACUAGUUCUGUCUUUUACUACAUUUAAUUAGAGUGGAAUUAAAAUAUAACUUUCUUUUUUGAAAGAAAAUAAAUAGAGGAAAUUUUAUGUCUUA